This 78-nucleotide transfer RNA is filed under the name Glomus cerebriforme. It matches the Rfam family "tRNA". Rfam says of the family: Transfer RNA (tRNA) molecules are approximately 80 nucleotides in length. Their secondary structure includes four short double-helical elements and three loops (D, anti-codon, and T loops). The record is from Rfam by way of RNAcentral. Lineage: Eukaryota; Fungi; Glomeromycota; Glomeromycetes; Glomerales; Glomeraceae.
GCUCAGUUAGUUCAGUGAUUAGAAUGCUAGAUAAUUUUUUUUAUCUUAGAAACGCAGGUUUGAUUCCUGCACUGGGCC